RNAcentral lists this ribosomal RNA (468 nucleotides) under uncultured bacterium. Its description in RNAcentral is "partial 16S ribosomal RNA". It matches the Rfam family "Bacterial small subunit ribosomal RNA", at positions 28 to 507 of the family's 1533-position model. The record is from RNAcentral.
GACGAACGCUGGCGGCGUGCUUAACACAUGCAAGUCGAACGGAAAGGCCCUGCUUUUGUGGGGUGCUCGAGUGGCGAACGGGUGAGUAACACGUGAGUAACCUGCCCUUGACUUUGGGAUAUCUUCAGGAAACUGGGGCUAUUACCGGAUAGGAGCUCCUGCUGCAUGGUGGGGGUUGGAAAGUUUCGGCGGUUGGGGAUGGACUAGCGGCUUAUCCGCUUGUUGGUGGGGCAGUGGCUUACCAAGGCUUUGACGGGUAGCCGGCCUGAGAGGGUGACCGGCCACAAUGGGACUGAGAUACGGCCCAGACUCCUACGGGAGGCAGCAGUGGGGAAUAUUGCACAAUGGGCGGAAGCCUGAUGCAGCAACGCCGCGUGCGGGAUGACGGCCUUCGGGUUGUAAACCGCUUUCGCCUGUGACGAAGCGUGAGUGACGGUAAUGGGUAAAGAAGCACCGGCUAACUACGUG